Molecule: ribosomal RNA, 468 nt
Filed under: uncultured bacterium
Lineage: Bacteria
Description: partial 16S ribosomal RNA
Rfam family: Bacterial small subunit ribosomal RNA
Source: RNAcentral
GACGAACGCUGGCGGCGUGCUUAACACAUGCAAGUCGAACGGACGGGCCCUACUUUUGUGGGGUUCACGAGUGCCGCACGGGUGGGUAACACGUGAGUAACCUGCCCUUAUCUUUCGGAUAACUUCAGGAAACUGGGGCUAAUACCGGAUAGGAGCUCCUGCUCCAUGGUGGGGGAUGGAAAGUUUCGGCGGUUGGGGAUCGACUGGCGGCUUAUGCGCUUGUUAGUGAGGUAGUUAAUGACGAAGUUUUUGACGGAUAGGCGGCCUGAGAGGCUGACCGGCGACAUUGGGACUGAGAGACGGCGCAGACGCCUACGGGAGGCAGCAGUGGGGAAUAUGGCGCAGUGGGGCGAAGCGUGAGGCAGAAACGCCGCGUGCGGGAUGACGGCCUUCGGGUGAAAAACCGCUGUGGCAGGAGACGAAGCGUGAGUGACGGUAAUGGGUAAAAAAGCACCGGCUAACUACGUG